This 630-nucleotide long non-coding RNA is filed under the name Triticum aestivum (bread wheat). Its description in RNAcentral is "long non-coding RNA (TAES_LNC015566)". The record is from RNAcentral. Lineage: Eukaryota; Viridiplantae; Streptophyta; Magnoliopsida; Poales; Poaceae.
CAAGUUAAAACAACAACAGUUAGGCCGAAAAGCACAAUUUUAUUUGUUCCUUUUUGGCACUAAUAACAGCAUGCCACGUCAAAAAAGAAGAAAUCAAACGCAAAGGAGUAAUGUCUCCUUUGCUUUUUAUUUACCUCCCCGACUUGGAGAAGUGCCCGGCGCCGAGCUCGCACUUGAACAGCAGGAGGUUGUCGUCUGUCUUUAGCUCCCUCAGCUUCGCCACGAACUUAGCAGGCUCCGAGUACAUCACGCGAGGAUCUGUUUGUCACGGAGUAGUUAGUUGUGUUUGACACGAAAAAUAAUAACAAACAACGAUGGUUAUCGUGUUAUUAUCUCUCUACCCGCCAGAGGAAAAAAAUUUGCGGGCGUGCCAGUGUACUGUAGUACACAAAAAAAAGGAUGCGGGAAAUGAGUAUUUCAUUAAUCUCGUUGGAGAAACAAAAGUACAAGAUCCCGUAAAAAAAAGUGCGCUCCGUGGCCUACUAGCGCGGCCAGCCUGACUAUGGCGAUUACGGUCUCCUGGUUCCCGGCGCCGAGCUCGCACUUGAACAGCAGGAGGUUGUCGUCUGUCUUCAGCUCCCUCAGCUUCGCCACGAACUUAGCAGGCUCCGAGUACAUCACGCGAGGAUC